UACCGCAUACGCCCUUCGGGGGAAAGCAGGGGAUCUUCGGACCUUGCGCUAUUGGAUGUGCCUAUGUCGGAUUAGCUAGUUGGUGGGGUAAGAGCCUACCAAGGCGACGAUCCGUAGCUGGUCUGAGAGGAUGAUCAGCCACAUCGGGACUGAGACACGGCCCGAACUCCUACGGGAGGCAGCAGUGGGGAAUAUUGGACAAUGGGGGCAACCCUGAUCCAGCCAUGCCGCGUGUGUGAAGAAGGCUUUCGGGUUGUAAAGCACUUUCAGUGAGGAGGAAAACCUUACGACUAAUACUCUUGAGGCUUGACGUUACUCACAGAAGAAGCACCGGCUAACUCCGUGCCAGCAGCCGCGGUAAUACGGAGGG
Molecule: ribosomal RNA, 370 nt
Filed under: Marinobacter sp. Ar-104
Lineage: Bacteria; Pseudomonadati; Pseudomonadota; Gammaproteobacteria; Pseudomonadales; Marinobacteraceae
Description: bacterial SSU rRNA
Rfam family: Bacterial small subunit ribosomal RNA
Source: RNAcentral